This 465-nucleotide ribosomal RNA is filed under the name uncultured bacterium. Its description in RNAcentral is "partial 16S ribosomal RNA". It matches the Rfam family "Bacterial small subunit ribosomal RNA", at positions 28 to 507 of the family's 1533-position model. The record is from RNAcentral.
GACGAACGCUGGCGGCGUGCUUAACACAUGCAAGUCGUACGGUAAGGCCCUUUCGUUGGUACACGAGUGUCGAACGGGUGAGUAACACUUGAGUGACCUUCCCACAACUUUGGGAUAACGCUAGGAAAGUGGUGCUGAUACUUAAUAUGUGCUCCUUCUUCAUGGGUGGGGUUGGAAAGCUCCGGCGGGUGUUGAUGGACUCGCGGCCUAUCAGCUUGUUGGUUGGGUAGUUGCGUACCAAAGCGGCGACGGGUGGCCGGCCUGAGAGGGUGACCGGCCACCUUGGGACUGAGAUAAGGCCCAGAUUCCUACGGGAGGCAGCAGUGGGGAAUAUUGAACAAUGGGCGCAAGCCUGAUGCAGCAACGCCGCGUGCGGGAUGACGGUCUUCGGGUUGUAAACCGCUUUUAGCAGGGACGAAGCUUUUUGUGACGGUACCUGAAGAAGAAGCACCGGCUAACUACGUG